GCUGUAGGUCAGUAGUACACCAUCUGCUUUGCAUGCAAAAGAUUCCAGGUUCAAUCCCUGGCAUCUUCA
Non-coding RNA from Podarcis lilfordi (Lilford's wall lizard), 69 nucleotides. The record is from the annotation of a GenBank genome assembly. Lineage: Eukaryota; Metazoa; Chordata; Lepidosauria; Squamata; Lacertidae.